Molecule: ribosomal RNA, 253 nt
Filed under: uncultured bacterium
Lineage: Bacteria
Description: partial 16S ribosomal RNA
Rfam family: Bacterial small subunit ribosomal RNA
Source: RNAcentral
UACGUAGGGCGCAAGCGUUAUCCGGAAUUAUUGGGCGUAAAGAGCUCGUAGGCGGUCUGUCGCGUCUGCCGUGAAAACCCGAGGCUUAACCUCGGGCUGGCGGUGGAUACGGGCAGACUAGAGGUAGGUAGGGGAGAAUGGAAUUCCCGGUGUAGCGGUGAAAUGCGCAGAUAUCGGGAGGAACACCGAUGGCGAAGGCGGGUCUCUGGGCCGAUACUGACGCUGAGGAGCGAAAGCGUGGGGAGCGAACAGG